Molecule: long non-coding RNA, 794 nt
Organism: Episyrphus balteatus (marmalade hoverfly)
Lineage: Eukaryota; Metazoa; Arthropoda; Insecta; Diptera; Syrphidae
Exons: 3
Source: RefSeq, a predicted model, not a curated record
AAAAUUUUGAAUAAUUCUACUAAAUCUACAAUCAUGGAAAAGACAAUAAUUUUAAUUUCAGUUGUUUGUAUACUGUUUGGUGCUUCGAUUUGUUCGGGUUCACCAUUAUUAGCUGUUAGUGAUGAUCUUAAAGGUGUCAGUUUACAAGGUGCUCCAGCGAACGGUCGGGAUUGUCAACGUGGUGCUCGCACAUCCGGUAUGGCAACUAGUGCACCCUCAACAUCAUCUUCAACAGCAUCUUCUGGUUAAAUAUGACUAACACAAAUAAAAUGCUAUACACAGUUUAACCAAAUUCAAAAUUUUUGGAGUUAUAAUUCUUUUCCGACGUUUGUAUCAGAUUGAAAAUUUACUUUUGAUAUUAAAUUUAAUUAUUAUUAUGGUGUUAACCUACUGAAUUUUAAAAGGCAGGCUCACACUAACACUACACCGAAAAAAAAAACCAAUAUCAAUUUAACAUUUUUUAAAUAUCAAAUUAACAUUUCUUAAAUAUCAGCCAAAAAUGCUCUAUAAAAUGUGUUUAAUGAUAUUUAAAAUGUUAAAACAACAUUUUUAUUAUCAGGAUGAUAUUUAAAUGUCACAUUUUGGAAUUUUUUUUUGAUAUUUUAUUAUCAUUUUUUCAUAUCAAUUUCUCAUUCCAAAUUAUUGAAAAAUAUUAAAUACAAAAUUCUUAAUGUGUACUAAUUUAAAGGCGCGUUGUGUUUUUUCGAAGUAAAAUGUAUGAUUUACUGAUAAAAUUUGAUCGGCACUAAGAUUUUACUUCACAUAGUUUGGGAGAAAAUAACAAAACAAUUAUA